UACGAAGGGUGCAAACGUUGCUCGGAAUUAUUGGGCGUAAAGCGCACGUAGGCGGCUUUGCAAGUCGGAUGUGAAAUCCCUCGGCUUAACCGAGGAAGUGCAUCCGAAACUGCAGAGCUUGAGUACUUAAGAGGAUCGCGGAAUUCCCGGUGUAGAGGUGAAAUUCGUAGAUAUCGGGAGGAACACCAGUGGCGAAGGCGGCGAUCUGGGAAGAUACUGACGCUGAGGUGCGAAAGCGUGGGGAGCAAACAGG
RNAcentral lists this ribosomal RNA (253 nucleotides) under uncultured bacterium. RNAcentral describes it as "partial 16S ribosomal RNA". It matches the Rfam family "Bacterial small subunit ribosomal RNA", at positions 524 to 776 of the family's 1533-position model. The record is from RNAcentral. RNAcentral also lists the same sequence under 1 other name.